UACAGCAAGCUCUUUACUCAGUGAUCCAGUCCCCAAGCCUCAUUUCCUUUAUCUCUGUUUUUUGUUUGUUUGUCUAUGCAUCCUGGCUAGCAUAGCCCUUCUGGUGGUCCUCUGGCAGCUCCCCCCACCCCAGUGCUGGGAUUAGAGGUAUGUGUUCACACACCCUACUCAGUGCUUCCCUCUGCUCUCAUCCCUCUGUGACUGUCCAGUUGAGCAGAGGAAAGCUCUUAGCCUCUCUGUCUUUUUCUGCCCCAUGAGCUCCAUCACUCCAGGCUUGGGCAGAGUCCCAGAAUCUGGAGGGAAUGCUGGCAUCCCACUCACCACAGUAUCCAUCUUCUUUAUGCCUGGACACACUUGUCUCACCGAAACACGGGAAGCUUCCCUCACCACCUGCCUUGACACCACCCACGCAAAGGCCUCCAGAGUCCUUUCUCUGCUAUCCUUGGCAGGCUUUGAAGGAAACGAUGCCUGCCUCUCCAGAAAUCCCACUCAAAGCAAGGUUCAAAAGCCCGCCUCAGAUUAAAGGCUGACCUGCUAACACGGGUGGGAGGCACGUGUGCACAGCCCUGCUGCACACGAAACUUGGCACACAGCGACUCUGCUUCUAAGGGUGGUUCCUAUAAAUGCGAGUUUGGAAAAUUGUGCCAAAACCACAGGAUGAGUCAGCUAUUUCUCUAGAAGCCAGCUGACUUUCUCUGGAGUCUGCCAGGAUGGAAACCUGUGAAGAUCUUGGUGACUUCCAGGCCUCAGGUGGCUCAUGGGAGGGGGAAUGGGGCUUUUUAAAGGACAUCCUUAUAAAAUCCUAUUGAAUGCCUGGUCAUCCUUAAGUGAUCACACCCCCUGGGACACUCAGGAAUGUUCUAGACUGUCUUGGAAUGAGCUGUCUAUGCAAAGGGAGGCCUAGGAGAAUCAAAGCAGAUGUAAGUCAGAAGACCAAGGUGUCCACCAAAGCACCUGGUGACAUGCACAGGGAUGAUCUGGGACCACAAGGCACCGAGGGAAGACCCAAAGGCCCAGGCCCUGGAACCAGAGGUGAAGCAGCCAGGAAGCAGGCCCAGAGACUCACUGGAAACACAGACCCAGCUUGGACCUAAGCAAGGACAUAUUGCAUGGCCCAGUUCCAGGACCAGAAGCCAGGAUUGACCAGACAGACAGGCACGUGUGAAGGGAUGAUUUUAGUUUCAAAGAUCUGAGGAAGACUCAGGAAUGUCUGAGGCCGUGGCACAUGGAAACUUGUGGCAAUUAUCUCUGGAUCUGUAGGAGCCAGGAGACCAUGUUUUGUUUACAUAUGCGCUUCUGCAUAUGCCGAAAACUAAUUCCUACCUGAGGAUGGGGACGCAUACCAAGACCUCAAGAUUGAAGGUGUUACUGGAGCGGCUCCUGCCUGCUCAUGUUCACCGCCCCUCCAAAAACUUAGUCCUCCAUGUUAAGGUGACAAUCAGGAGGAAGAGAAGAAAUGUUACUUAAACUUGAACAUGCCUGAUCACUGCCGUAUCAAAACUGUUCUUAUAUUUUCCAUCAGUCACAUAGGAAGGAUGUAGUGGUUGUAAUGAGAACUUUGACCUAUAGGCUCAUGUAUUUGAACUCUUCAUCCAGUGGAGGUGAUAGAGUCCUUAGAAUGUGGAACCUCACUGGAAGAAGUAUAUCACCGAAGGCAGGCUUUCAGUGUUUAAGUGGGGCCUGGGCCCCACUUCCUGUUCUCUGUCUCUCUUGGCUUCCUAUGUGUGGAUGGAAAUGUGACAGUCCAGACUCCUGCUCCUGCCACCUUGUUUUCCCAGCCCCUUGUCAUGCCUUGGGCACUGUGAUAACUCACUAAAAAAUAUGACAGGUAUGUUCUUGGCUUUCAAAAUUUUUUUGAAUAAAUAUCAUAUUCCUUUUCAUUGAAAGGGAACAUAUUAGAACAGAAAGGUGGACCAAUCAGAUGGCUCAGUGGGUAUAGGCAUUGUGGAGUGUCCACCAGGGAAGACUACUUGAACAUGAGUUUGAGCCAAUAAAAAAUCUUCAUUAGCCAA
This is a non-coding RNA of Cricetulus griseus (Chinese hamster), 2012 nucleotides long. The record is from RefSeq and is a predicted model, not a curated record. NCBI's taxonomy places the organism in Eukaryota, Metazoa, Chordata, Mammalia, Rodentia, Cricetidae.